This 201-nucleotide long non-coding RNA is filed under the name Elaeis guineensis (African oil palm). RNAcentral's name for it is "long non-coding RNA (EGUI_LNC042646)". The record is from RNAcentral. Lineage: Eukaryota; Viridiplantae; Streptophyta; Magnoliopsida; Arecales; Arecaceae.
UGGGGUUCAUCAUAAUCUUAGACAUAAUAAGAUGCAUCUAAAAAGAUGAAUUAAUAUCUUAUUUUAUUAUCAAAUAACAAAUAUCAUUUCAUGAGUUUGGAAAAUUACGAAGAAAAAUCCCAUCACAAUAUACUUACGAUUGGCUUUUAGGACACUCUUCUUUCAAUCUCUCACUUGAACUAAAGUCAAUCACCUUUGUAU